UCUGUUUCUUGGCACUAUUAGGUUGAAACUUUGAAUGACAGUUCCUUUCUCAUUGACUAGAAUACCCCUAUUAAUCUCUCCCUUCUUUUACCCUUUUCUUCUCUUCCCUAGAGAGAAAAAGAAAACUUUAUUUUCUUAUGCUGUUUUGUCCCUAUCUAAAUUUCUCACAUUCAGUAUAUGGAAAUUAAAUUUACCACAAUAUGACAGACAUUUUCGGUUUUAAAGUUUAACAUAAAAAAUUCAUAUUAGAAAAAUAAUUUGUGAUUAAAUCGAGUUCAAUAUCAGUUAUGUUGUUGUAUUUAACAUCCAUCCAUAUGAGAAAAGUGUGUGUUGUUAGAAGUGAAAGCAAUAAUCAGAAAAUCAAAGAGAAGGAAUAAGAUGGUGAGGAAUGUUCAAUUUCAAGUAUCAUCAUUACUCUCUAUGCAGUGGUUUCCUGGUCAUAUAUACUGCAAAAGCAGAAAAGGAACUCAAGGAGCAGCUUAAGUUACUAGGUUGAUACAUCUUAAUUUUUCAUCUAUCUGUUACUCUUACUUUUGUAAUAAAAAGAGAAUUUUGGUUUUAAAUAGAGAAGCUUGCACUUCAUCUGUUCAAUGGAGAUUUCAGAAAAGGUAGGUUUGGUUGGACUGCAUUGGAGAGGCCUCCUAGGUGAUCUCGGAUAUUUGCUUUUAGAAAUAAAAUUCUGUGAAGCUAAAACUGAAUCAUGCUGGAGAUCUCUAGGAGCAGACAGCAUAACUCAAUCCCUCAUGGUGAUGCUAUAAUUGUGAAUGCAUGGUAUCAUGAAAAGGAAAUAUCUUGAAUUUUCUGUAAAGAUUUGAGGCACACUAAACAAAGGAUUUGAACCAAUAGAUGCUUCAUGUUAUUACCAUGUAAUUAUUCUUCGGUAUGAUGUAACAUGCUCUAUAUUGUAUACUACUAGUGUUGUGCCAUAGGAUUUUUUGUAUGCAUCAUGCUUAUUGUGUAUCUUUAAUUCUUUAUUUUAGUGUGUUGAUGAUUUAAACUA
This is a long non-coding RNA of Cicer arietinum (chickpea), 1000 nucleotides long. RefSeq lists it as uncharacterized. NCBI's taxonomy places the organism in Eukaryota, Viridiplantae, Streptophyta, Magnoliopsida, Fabales, Fabaceae. The record is from RefSeq and is a predicted model, not a curated record.